RNAcentral lists this ribosomal RNA (292 nucleotides) under uncultured bacterium. Its description in RNAcentral is "partial 16S ribosomal RNA". It matches the Rfam family "Bacterial small subunit ribosomal RNA", at positions 505 to 796 of the family's 1533-position model. The record is from RNAcentral.
GUGCCAGCCGCCGCGGUAAGACGAACCGUGCGAACGUUGUUCGGAAUCACUGGACUUAAAGGGCGCGUAGGCGGGCCAUCAAGUCCGGGGUGAAAUCUUUCGGCUCAACCGGAAAAGUGCCUUGGAUACUGAUGGUCUUGAGGGAGGUAGGGGCAUGUGGAACUUCCGGUGGAGCGGUGAAAUGCGUUGAUAUCUACAGGAACUCCGGUGGCGAAAGCGGCGUGCUGGACCUCUUCUGACGCUGAGGCGCGAAAGCCAGGGGAGCAAACGGGAUUAGAAACCCGGGUAGUCC